RNAcentral lists this unclassified non-coding RNA (172 nucleotides) under soil metagenome. RNAcentral's name for it is "partial internal transcribed spacer 1". The record is from RNAcentral.
CAGAGUUUGAAAAACUCCCUAAACCCUUUGUUUAUAUACCUGUUCAGUUGCUUCGGCAGGGCGGCCCCAGGGCGGGGCCUCCCGGCCUGCUUCGGCCAGGCUGCCUGCCGCUGGCGUCACCAAACUCUUUGUUAUAUGUUACACUCUCCGAGUCUAAUAACAAAAUGAAUCA